UGGGGAAUUUUGCACAAUGGGCGCAACCCUGAUGCAGCCAUGCCGCUUGUAUGAAGAAGGCCUUCGGGUUUUAAAGUACUUUCAGCGGGGAGGAAGUGAGUAAAGUUAAUACCUUUUCUCAUUGACGUUACCCGCAGAAGAAGCACCUGCUAACUCCGUGCCAGCAGCCGCGGUAAUACGGAGGGUGCAAGCGUUAAUCGGAAUUACUGGGCGUAAAGCGCCCGCAGGCGGUUUGUUAAGUCAGAUGUGAAAUCCCCGGGCUCAACGUGGGAAAUGCAUCGGAUAAUGGCAAGGUUGAGUGACGUAGAGGGGGGUAGAAUUCCAGGUGUAGCGGUGAAAUGCGUAGAGAUCUGGAGGAAUACCGGUGGCGAAGGCGGCCCACUGGACGAAGAAUGAAGAUCAGGUGAGAAAGGGUGGGGAGCAAACAGG
Molecule: ribosomal RNA, 429 nt
Filed under: Chloroflexota bacterium
Lineage: Bacteria; Bacillati; Chloroflexota
Description: Chloroflexi bacterium partial 16S ribosomal RNA
Rfam family: Bacterial small subunit ribosomal RNA
Source: RNAcentral